Long non-coding RNA from Grammomys surdaster, 593 nucleotides. RefSeq lists it as uncharacterized. Lineage: Eukaryota; Metazoa; Chordata; Mammalia; Rodentia; Muridae. The record is from RefSeq and is a predicted model, not a curated record. The transcript has 3 exons.
GUGCACUUAUCCUUUGGUCUUCCACAGAAUGUGAGACCCAGGACCCCAGCUCCUUGCUGAUCGCUGGCCAGAGGUUGCCUCAGUCUCAUUCCGUGUGACAUAAAGAAAUGUCUAUCUUGGGUUUGAUGCAAACCAGACACUCAGGAGAAAGCUGGCAAAUGAACGGCUUCAAGACUACUUACAGCAGAUCUACAAAUUUUCAGAUUACAGCUGAUAGUUGGCAACUCAAGUGUGGGAAUCGAAGCCACAGACAAAGAAGAGCUAGUGUAACUGAAAAAGUCACCUAGAACCGUGAUCACUGCUGAAGGCCCCCUCCCCAUCUCAGAAGGUAAAAUGAAGCAUGCCUGGCUUCAAAACUGUGGGCUGUGGCAGUGCAUGCCCACAGCCCCAGAAGACACCUGCCUUUAAAAAUACAGGCUGUGGCGAUACAUGCCUAUAACCCCAGAACUCAGAAAGUUGAAGCAGGAGCACCAACAGACCAGCCUAGGCUGCACAGUACAUCCCUGUCUUAAAUAAUAACAAAUAAAUAAACAACCUGAGUUGGACAGACAUGCGGGUCCUUGACUGUCCUAGCAUUGUUUCAGCCAUGUGAG